This 472-nucleotide ribosomal RNA is filed under the name uncultured bacterium. RNAcentral's name for it is "bacterial SSU rRNA". It matches the Rfam family "Bacterial small subunit ribosomal RNA", at positions 355 to 825 of the family's 1533-position model. The record is from RNAcentral.
UGGGGAAUAUUGGACAAUGGGGGGAACCCUGAUCCAGCAAUGCCGCGUGUGUGAAGAAGGCCUGAGGGUUGUAAAGCACUUUCAGAGGGGAGGAGGACUAUUAGGUUAAGAGCUAGAUAGUUGGACGUUACCCUCAGAAGCAGCACCGGCUAACUCCGUGCCAGCAGCCGCGGUAAUACGGGGGGUGCAAGCGUUGUUCGGAUUUACUGGGCGUAAAGGGCGCGUAGGCGGCAAUUCAAGUCAUCUGUGAAAUCUCCGGGCUUAACUCGGAACGGUCAGAUGAUACUGCUUUGCUAGAGUGCAGAAGGGGCAAUCGGAAUUCUUGGUGUAGCGGUGAAAUGCGUAGAUAUCAAGAGGAACACCUGAGGUGAAGACGGGUUGCUGGGCUGACACUGACGCUGAGGCGCGAAAGCCAGGGGAGCAAACGGGAUUAGAUACCCGCGUAGUCCCUGAGCGGGCUGGCAAGGCGCAU